ACGGACUGGGCGGUGAGAGAGAAACCCUUUUGUAUGAUCGAGACCCAUGAGCAGCUCUCCGAAGAUUUAAAGUAAAUCAAGAAAGACGCGAAGGGUUCAUCCAUAUCGAGGUUGAUUUCAGCGAACCCAACAAGAAUCUGAUUUUCCAGUCAAAAACAUACAAAUGACAUGCAGUUGCCUGUAAUUUUGAAGCUUUCAGGAGCUGGCUGCUUGUUGAACUUAUCUAGAGGACUCGACACCAUAAAAGAUUUUGAGGUCCUCGGUGGUCUCAUGCCAAAUAUAUAUUGUCAGAGCAAAUCUUGCAAAAAAGGCUCCUGAUGUUAAUUUCAGCCACUGGAAGCCUCUUUUCCAUAGACUCUGGCUGGUGUUGCUGUUGCUGUAUAUGCUGCUGGUGACACUUAGUCGAUGAAGUUAUGCCCUCACAACCGCAGAAGUCAUAAACAACUCAUAAGUGGAUAAGGGAAGGGCUCUUAGGUAGCAUGGACCACAGGUCAUGCAUACAUCUGCAGAUUCUUACAGAAAGAUUCAUGGGUAAGCAUGACUCUUGGACAUGAUGAGGAUUAAUAAUUGGACAUACUUGCGUCGGCCGUCAAUUACACUUGAGCUACUUAGCAUAAGGGGAAGCUGGGAUUAUGACACUAAUGAUGAGAAUCCUGGUUAAGAUGAUCAUCAGUAUUAUUCAUUACAAUUGUAUCUCUCAGACCUGGGGAGACUUGGAUUUGCCGUAUGUCUGUCAUCUUAAGAUCAACAUCGGAAGAGGCAUUGUUCAACUUCUGCUGCUGGACAAGUGGACCCAACCUAGAUGGCAUGAACAGAUGUUAGUUUUUUUCACGAGAAACACAUCAUUCAGUUUGAUUUGAAGACUGCUUAGAUCUUUCUUAUACUAUGUUCUUGAUCCCAUGGGACCAAAACUUGUCUGGUUCUAGGAAGCAACUCGCAUCAUAAGAUUACAAAAGGUCAUGUAUCAGUCAGUAUCCAUUAAAAAGAAGUGACCCGUGUAUCAGGAUCUCUAGCUGCGGGACUCAGUGCCAUGUCAUUGUCUUCUUCCCCCACGAACUCUCUCCAUCUCAGAUCGUUGAACCUUUUACUGUCACAGACAGCAUGAACGAAGAACAAUGAUAAAAAAAAAAUGCAGGUGACUCGGAACUACAUUCUGUUUUGACCCUACAGAUUGCAAAGUAGGUAUCAGGAUCACCCAUGUGGGUGUGAAGGCCUGUGAAGCAUUUUUGCGUUCUAGGGUUCAUACCCAUGACUCCCAAGAUCACAGAGCUGAAGACAGCCAAGACGAAGGCAAGGUUUCAAUGGUGUCAUAAUGAAUGCACUUAUUACAUUGCCAUUUUACAUUUUCCAUUAAAUGGUACCAUCUUUUAAUGUGCAUAAAUGCCGUUAGUGAAUAUUCAAACUAAUGAUUUCAAGCAAGAAUUUAUCUUUUUUUGAUGGAAAUUUCAAUGGAAGAAAAUUGUGGAGGGUAAAUGUGGAAUUUCACAGUGGCAAGUUAUAUAA
This is a long non-coding RNA of Musa acuminata AAA Group (dessert banana), 1503 nucleotides long. RefSeq lists it as uncharacterized. NCBI's taxonomy places the organism in Eukaryota, Viridiplantae, Streptophyta, Magnoliopsida, Zingiberales, Musaceae. The record is from RefSeq and is a predicted model, not a curated record. The transcript has 6 exons.